UUUUAUAAAUAAUUUGAUUGAGGUUAUUUAAAUAUAAAAAGAUUAAAAUAAAAUUAUAUAUUUUUGUGGGGGGGAAGAAAAAUAAAUAUUACUUUUUUUAAAAAUUAAAACAUUUAUAAGUGAUUAAAUGAUCCCAAUAUUAUUGAUUAUAA
Molecule: ribosomal RNA, 152 nt
Filed under: Apamea monoglypha
Lineage: Eukaryota; Metazoa; Arthropoda; Insecta; Lepidoptera; Noctuidae
Description: partial large subunit ribosomal RNA
Source: RNAcentral